UACAAGUGUGAGUGUAUGCACACCAUAGCACAUGUGUAGAGGUCAGGGGACAACUUUCAAGAGUCAGUUCUUUCCUUCUACCAUAUAUGUCCUGGGGAUGGAAUUCAGUCCCCAAGCUUGAUGGUAGAUACUUUACUUUGAGCCAUUUCACUGGGCCCCAAAGCAGUAGGUCUUAUUAACAAUGUUGCUACACAGACUAGCUAAAAUACAAGGGUACAGUACCAUGGAUACAGUGUCAUUCUAUUUCCUCCUUACAUUGUUAUAGCAGCUGCCCAGACCCACUCCCAUUCUAGAAGACACGUGUGGGAUUUCAAGAGUCUACACUCCUGGGACCCCCUGUCUGACUGCCUGUUGUCAGAUGUGAUCAGAGCCCUCUUGCUUAACUUUACUGGAGGACUAGAUCCAGUCUCAGACACCAGAACAACCCCCUGGUCUGACCCUGUGUGUGAGGCCCCUGCUCCUAAGUGAUGGCUGUUGGGAAGAUGAGAACAUCAUUACAGGAGACAUGGGAGGAAGUCCUUAAAGCCCUGAGCAGGAAGAGAACAUGGGGGAAUCCUGGGAAGGGAGAGUCCCUCUAUGUGGAACCAUUUAGGGUAGGCCUAAAGAAGAGCUAAGAGGUCUUAAUCUCUCUCCUUCCCUCACCUUCUCCCUCUCUUAGCCCUUCCCUUCCCUUCCCUUCCUCACUCCCUUUCCUUUUCGGAAAAAGACUUAAAAGCCAAGGCUGAUGGGAAGGGUGAAACCAAUCAGCACAUGGUCGCUGCCGAACGUGACAACCUGAGCUCCAUUCUCCAGAAGCUGUCUUCUGACUUCCAUGACAUGUGCACACACUCACACACUAAAUGCAUCAGCUUCUCAUCGCACAAUAGAACGUUUAACACCAAAGACAGGAGAAAGAGCAAGAGCCAGGAAUAAGCCACCAUCUUAACUGACACUUUAAGGUUAAAUGUAGACAAAGUCUAUGAAUAUAAUUUUAUGAGACUGUUUUCUGUAUCGCCUUUAUUUUCCUUAUGUUGUCUUAGGUGGUGAAGCUGACUGGGCUCCCCAACAGGGCCCCCUCCCUGGUACCCAUAGAAAAGCAGAAUGACUUUUAUUAAUAAAAAGUACAAACUGG
Molecule: long non-coding RNA, 1111 nt
Filed under: Mus spicilegus (steppe mouse)
Lineage: Eukaryota; Metazoa; Chordata; Mammalia; Rodentia; Muridae
Description: lncRNA (ENSMSIG00000017561.1)
Source: RNAcentral